RNAcentral lists this transfer RNA (73 nucleotides) under Lachnospiraceae bacterium. RNAcentral's name for it is "tRNA-Phe". It matches the Rfam family "tRNA". From Rfam's summary of the family: Transfer RNA (tRNA) molecules are approximately 80 nucleotides in length. The record is from RNAcentral. Lineage: Bacteria; Bacillati; Bacillota; Clostridia; Lachnospirales; Lachnospiraceae.
GCCCAGUAAGCUAACUCGGUAGAAGCGAUGGACUGAAAAUCCAUAGGAGCCAGUUCGACCCUGGCACUGGGCA